CUCAUGAACUGGGGUAUUCCUUCCCCGUGUUCUAUUCCGAAGUGAUCACCCUAUGCCCUAACUUCUUUCGAAAAGUAAAAGUGUUGAUUUGUUAACUCUAGAUGUACAAACGUAAUUAUAUCCCUUAAUGUGUCCGUUUAAAAUUCAUUUGACAAAGGGAGGAAUAAAAACAACGACAUUUUGUGUGGUUUCCCCUUCGGUCCCAUCGGAGACGUGUCAACCCAUCGUUGAACUUUUUCAGGGGGACUUUGAACUGUGAAAUGCAAGUUACUAAGCACUCUGGCGAUGAAACACUCGAUUUAAUAGUGAUAAAUAAUAAACUUUCUUUCGCACUGAUCUAGGACUGCUCCCAAUAUAAAUCAUAAACGGAAAAAAGAAGGUCAACUUGUGAAACUGAUUUAAAGCAUAAUUUACCGCGGAUCACAGGAGAAGACAGAGAUGAGUCGAGUGUGGAUGUCAGUGGUGGGAGGAGACUGCGGCGGAGGCGUUUGCGAGCUCCGUCGCUAUUGCUGUCGGCCUUACUUUUGGGCGGCGGGCUGUCCAGGAAGAAGUCGUUGCAGGCCACAGUCAGCGCGCCUAUGAGGAUGAUGAACUCGGUGAAGUCCACCUCGCCAUCGUUGUUGGCA
Long non-coding RNA from Triplophysa dalaica, 626 nucleotides. RefSeq lists it as uncharacterized. Lineage: Eukaryota; Metazoa; Chordata; Actinopteri; Cypriniformes; Nemacheilidae. The record is from RefSeq and is a predicted model, not a curated record. The transcript has 3 exons.